AGGGCACCACCAGGAGUGGAGCUUGCGGCUUAAUUUGACUCAACACAGGGAAACUUACUAGGUCCAGAUAUAGUAAGGAUUAACAGACUGAGAGCUCUUUCUUGAUUCUACGGGUGGUGGUGCAUGGCCGUUCUUAGUUGUUGGAGCGAUUUGUCUGGUUAAUUUCGUUAACGAACGAAACCUUAGCCUGCUAACUAGCUAUGCGGAGGGAUACCUUCGCAACUAGCUUCUUAAAGGGACUAUGGCCUUUUAGGCCACGGAAGUUUGAGGCA
This 272-nucleotide ribosomal RNA is filed under the name uncultured eukaryote. RNAcentral describes it as "partial small subunit ribosomal RNA". It matches the Rfam family "Eukaryotic small subunit ribosomal RNA", at positions 1161 to 1452 of the family's 1831-position model. The record is from RNAcentral.